RNAcentral lists this ribosomal RNA (497 nucleotides) under uncultured bacterium. RNAcentral's name for it is "partial 16S ribosomal RNA". It matches the Rfam family "Bacterial small subunit ribosomal RNA", at positions 28 to 507 of the family's 1533-position model. The record is from RNAcentral.
GACGAACGCUGGCGGCGUGCCUAAUACAUGCAAGUUGAGCGCUGAAGGUUGGUACUUGUACCAACUGGAUGAGCAGCGAACGGGUGAGUAACGCGUGGGUAAUCUGCCUUUGAGCGGGGGACAACAUUUGGAAACGAAUGCUAAUACCGCAUAAAAACUUUAAACACAAGUUUUAAGUUUGAAAGAUGCAAUUGCAUCACUCAAAGAUGAUCCCGCGUUGUAUUAGCUAGUUGGUGAGGUAAAGGCUCACCAAGGCGAUGAUACAUAGCCGACCUGAGAGGGUGAUCGGCCACAUUGGGACUGAGACACGGCCCAAACUCCUACGGGAGGCAGCAGUAGGGAAUCUUCGGCAAUGGACGAAAGUCUGACCGAGCAACGCCGCGUGAGUGAAGAAGGUUUUCGGAUCGUAAAACUCUGUUGGUAGAGAAGAACGUUGGUGAGAGUGGAAAGCUCAUCAAGUGACGGUAACUACCCAGAAAGGGACGGCUAACUACGUG